GUGGCUGUAGCUCAGGUGGUAGAGCCCCGGAUUGUGAUUCCGGUUGUCGUGGGUUCGAGUCCCAUCAGCCACC
This 73-nucleotide transfer RNA is filed under the name Thioalkalivibrio sulfidiphilus HL-EbGr7. RNAcentral's name for it is "Thioalkalivibrio sulfidophilus HL-EbGr7 tRNA". It matches the Rfam family "tRNA". Rfam says of the family: Transfer RNA (tRNA) molecules are approximately 80 nucleotides in length. Their secondary structure includes four short double-helical elements and three loops (D, anti-codon, and T loops). Lineage: Bacteria; Pseudomonadati; Pseudomonadota; Gammaproteobacteria; Chromatiales; Ectothiorhodospiraceae. The record is from Rfam by way of RNAcentral.